This is a non-coding RNA of Neolamprologus brichardi, 74 nucleotides long. Lineage: Eukaryota; Metazoa; Chordata; Actinopteri; Cichliformes; Cichlidae. The record is from Ensembl.
GUUAAAGUGGCAGAGCCCGGACAUUGCAAAAGACCUAAGCCCUUUCCACGGAGGUUCAAACCCUCCCUUUAACU